GCCGCUAUCGUCUAUCGGUUAGGACAGAGGAUUUUCAAUCCUCUAGGCGGGGUUCGACUCCCCGUAGCGGCA
RNAcentral lists this transfer RNA (72 nucleotides) under bacterium. RNAcentral describes it as "tRNA-Glu". It matches the Rfam family "tRNA". From Rfam's summary of the family: Transfer RNA (tRNA) molecules are approximately 80 nucleotides in length. Their secondary structure includes four short double-helical elements and three loops (D, anti-codon, and T loops). Further hydrogen bonds mediate the characteristic L-shaped molecular structure. tRNAs have two regions of fundamental functional importance: the anti-codon, which is responsible for specific mRNA codon recognition, and the 3' end, to which the tRNAs corresponding amino acid is attached (by aminoacyl-tRNA synthetases). tRNAs cope with the degeneracy of the genetic code in two manners: having more than one tRNA (with a specific anti-codon) for a particular amino acid; and 'wobble' base-pairing, i.e. permitting non-standard base-pairing at the 3rd anti-codon position. RNAcentral also lists the same sequence under 3 other names. The record is from RNAcentral.